This 254-nucleotide ribosomal RNA is filed under the name uncultured bacterium. RNAcentral describes it as "partial 16S ribosomal RNA". It matches the Rfam family "Bacterial small subunit ribosomal RNA", at positions 524 to 776 of the family's 1533-position model. The record is from RNAcentral.
CACGUAGGGUGCGAGCGUUAUCCGGAAUUAUUGGGCGUAAAGAGCUCGUAGGCGGUGUGUCGCGUCGGCCGUGAAAACCUGCAGCUUAACUGUGGGCUUGCGGUCGAUACGGGCAUCACUGGAGUUCGGCAGGGGAGACUGGAAUUCCUGGUGUAGCGGUGAAAUGCGCAGAUAUCAGGAGGAACACCGGUGGCGAAGGCGGGUCUCUGGGCCGAUACUGACGCUGAGGAGCGAAAGCGUGGGGAGCGAGCAGG